GUGAACCUGUAGUACUCAGCCAAUGAGGAAACAGGGGAGAAAUCAGGUGUCAGGUAAUAGGGAAUAUAAGGUUAUGAAAAACUUUUACUGUGUGCUCCUGCUUGCAGAACACCCGCCAUUGCAAUCGCGAAUAAAAUAGCUUCACAGAAGAUCCUAUCUGAA
This is a long non-coding RNA of Cygnus olor (mute swan), 162 nucleotides long. RefSeq lists it as uncharacterized. The transcript is spliced from 2 exons. NCBI's taxonomy places the organism in Eukaryota, Metazoa, Chordata, Aves, Anseriformes, Anatidae. The record is from RefSeq and is a predicted model, not a curated record.